CCUUAUUUGAUCUACUCAUGUUAAGUCAGUGAACUAGAUCCGUAACUAUCAGCGGCCAAACACUUAUGAAACAUUCCACAAGCGCAGCCUUUACAACGGGCACAUUACUAUAACACUAACUCACAAGCUGACUUAACCUUUAGUUGAUAGCGUGUUACAGCAUAACAGCCUACACUAGAGCAGCACACCUGCAUACACAAGCCAACUACAGACACACUGCGAAUCGCAAUGCCGCACUACAUCUAUGU
This is a non-coding RNA of Pelobates cultripes (western spadefoot toad), 248 nucleotides long. The record is from the annotation of a GenBank genome assembly. NCBI's taxonomy places the organism in Eukaryota, Metazoa, Chordata, Amphibia, Anura, Pelobatidae.